Molecule: ribosomal RNA, 234 nt
Filed under: uncultured bacterium
Lineage: Bacteria
Description: partial small subunit ribosomal RNA
Rfam family: Bacterial small subunit ribosomal RNA
Source: RNAcentral
AGAACGAACGCUGGCGGCAUGCCUAACACAUGCAAGUCGAACGAGACCUUCGGGUCUAGUGGCGCACGGGUGCGUAACGCGUGGGAAUCUGCCCCUUGGUUCGGAAUAACAGUGGGAAACUACUGCUAAUACCGGAUGACGACGUAAGUCCAAAGAUUUAUCGCCGAGGGAUGAGCCCGCGUAGGAUUAGCUAGUUGGUGGGGUAAUGGCUCACCAAGGCGACGAUCCUUAGCU